GAAAUGCGAUAAUUAAUGUGAAUUGCAGAAUUCAGUGAUUCAUCGAGUCUUUGAACGCACAUUGCGCCCCCUGGUAUUCCGGGGGGCAUGCCUGUCCGAGCGUCAUUGCUGCCCUCAAGCACGGCUUGUGUGUUGGGCUUCCGUCCCUGGCAACGGGGACGGGCCCAAAAGGCAGUGGCGGCACCAUGUCUGGUCCUCGAGCGUAUGGGGCUUUGUCACCCGCUCCCGUAGGUCCAGCUGGCAGCUAGCCUCGCAACCAAUCUUUUUAACCAGGUUGACCUCGGAUCAGGUAGGGAUACCCGCUGAACUUAAGC
This 314-nucleotide unclassified non-coding RNA is filed under the name plant metagenome. RNAcentral's name for it is "partial contains 5.8S ribosomal RNA, internal transcribed spacer 2, and large subunit ribosomal RNA". The stretch from base 1 to 105 matches the Rfam family "5.8S ribosomal RNA", at positions 50 to 154 of the family's 154-position model. The record is from RNAcentral.